UGAACGCUGGCGGCGUGCCUAACACAUGCAAGUCGAGCGGAGAUAAGUUGAAGCCUAGCGAUCUUAUCUUAGCGGCGGAUGGGUGAGUAACACGUGGGUAACCUGCCCUGCACUGGGGAAUAACAGCUGGAAACGGCUGUUAAUGCCGCAUAUGCGCACGGAGCCGCAUGGCUUUGGGCGGAAAGAUUUAUCGGUGCAGGAUGGGCCCGCGCCGGAUUAACUAGUUGGCGGGGUAACGGCCCACCAAGGUGAUGAUCCGUAGCCGACCUGAGAGGGUGACCGGCCACAUUGGGACUGAGACACGGCCCAAACUCCUACGGGAGGCAGCAGUGGGGGAUAUUGCACAAUGGGGGAAACCUUGAAUGCAGCGACGCCGCGUGAAGGAUGAAGUAUUUCGGUAUGUAAACUUCUAUCAGCGGGGAAGAAGAUGACGGUACCCGACUAAGAAGCCCCGGCUAACUACGUGCCAGCAGCCGC
This 477-nucleotide ribosomal RNA is filed under the name uncultured bacterium. RNAcentral describes it as "bacterial SSU rRNA". It matches the Rfam family "Bacterial small subunit ribosomal RNA", at positions 30 to 518 of the family's 1533-position model. The record is from RNAcentral.